Molecule: ribosomal RNA, 279 nt
Filed under: uncultured bacterium
Lineage: Bacteria
Description: partial 16S ribosomal RNA
Rfam family: Bacterial small subunit ribosomal RNA
Source: RNAcentral
UGCCAGCCGCCGCGGUAAUACGGAGGGUGCGAGCGUUAAUCGGAAUUACUGGGCGUAAAGCGGGCGCAGGCGGUCUGUCAAGUCGGGUGUGAAAGCCCAGGGCUCAACCCUGGAACUGCAUCCGAAACUGGCAAACUUGAGUACGAGAGAGGGAGGCGGAAUUCCUGGUGUAGAGGUGAAAUUCGUAGAUAUCAGGAGGAACACCAGCGGCGAAGGCGGCUUCCUGGCUCGAUACUGACGCUCAUGCCCGAAAGCGUGGGGAGCAAACAGGAUUAGAUA